This 235-nucleotide ribosomal RNA is filed under the name uncultured bacterium. RNAcentral describes it as "partial 16S ribosomal RNA". It matches the Rfam family "Bacterial small subunit ribosomal RNA", at positions 104 to 334 of the family's 1533-position model. The record is from RNAcentral.
CGGGGUAGAGUAACGCGUGAGGAACCUGCCUCAAAGAGGGGGACAACAGUUGGAAACGACUGCUAAUACCGCAUAAGCCCACAGCUCGGCAUCGAGCAGAGGGAAAAGGAGUGAUCCGCUUUGAGAUGGCCUCGCGUCCGAUUAGCUAGUUGGUGAGGUAACGGCCCACCAAGGCGACGAUCGGUAGCCGGACUGGGAGGUUGAACGGCCACAUUGGGACUGAGACACGGCCCAG